This 204-nucleotide long non-coding RNA is filed under the name Mytilus galloprovincialis (Mediterranean mussel). The record is from RNAcentral. Lineage: Eukaryota; Metazoa; Mollusca; Bivalvia; Mytilida; Mytilidae.
GUUGGAAGAAUUUUGUAAAAUAUUGAAUGACUGGAGAAUUUCAGCAAAUGUAUCAUAAGUCAUAGGUUAUUGGGGACAGGAAAAUGUUUUUUUUUAUCCCUCCUUCUUCAUUUCCAAAAUUCCCAAUUUUUGGUUUUCUAUCAAUUUCAAUAUGAACAUACAUUUAGUAUGUUAUGACAUUUAGUAAGGAACCUGUAAUUCAGU